This 253-nucleotide ribosomal RNA is filed under the name uncultured bacterium. Its description in RNAcentral is "partial 16S ribosomal RNA". It matches the Rfam family "Bacterial small subunit ribosomal RNA", at positions 524 to 776 of the family's 1533-position model. The record is from RNAcentral.
UACGUAGGGUGCGAGCGUUAAUCGGAAUUAUUGGGCGUAAAGAGCUCGUAGGCGGUCUGUUGCGUCGGCUGUGAAAACCCGGGGCUCAACUCCGGGCCUGCAGCCGAUACGGGCAGACUAGAGUUCGGCAGGGGAGACUGGAAUUCCUGGUGUAGCGGUGAAAUGCGCAGAUAUCAGGAGGAACACCGGUGGCGAAGGCGGGUCUCUGGGCCGAUACUGACGCUGAGGAGCGAAAGCGUGGGGAGCGAACAGG